Molecule: ribosomal RNA, 497 nt
Filed under: uncultured bacterium
Lineage: Bacteria
Description: partial 16S ribosomal RNA
Rfam family: Bacterial small subunit ribosomal RNA
Source: RNAcentral
GAUGAACGCUGGCGGCGUGCCUAAUACAUGCAAGUCGAGCGAACGGACGAGAAGCUUGCUUCUCUGAUGUUAGCGGCGGACGGGUGAGUAACACGUGGAUAACCUACCUAUAAGACUGGGAUAACUUCGGGAAACCGUAGCUAAUACCGGAUAAUAUUUUGAACCGCAUGGUUCAAAAGUGAAAGACGGUCUUGCUGUCACUUAUAGAUGGAUCCGCGCUGCAUUAGCUAGUUGGUAAGGUAACGGCUUACCAAGGCAACGAUGCAUAGCCGACCUGAGAGGGUGAUCGGCCACACUGGAACUGAGACACGGUCCAGACUCCGACGGGAGGCAGCAGUAGGGAAUCUUCCGCAAUGGGCGAAAGCCUGACGGAGCAACGCCGCGUGAGUGAUGAAGGUCUUCGGAUCGUAAAACUCUGUUAUUAGGGAAGAACAUAUGUGUAAGUAACUGUGCACAUCUUGACGGUACCUAACCAGAAAGCCACGGCUAACUACGUG